Molecule: ribosomal RNA, 413 nt
Filed under: uncultured microorganism
Description: bacterial SSU rRNA
Rfam family: Archaeal small subunit ribosomal RNA
Source: RNAcentral
GUGCAGCAGGCGCGAAACCUUCGCAAUGCGGGAAACCGCGACGAGGGGACUCCCAGUGCCUACGCUCAGCGUAGGCUGUUCCCGAGCCUAGAAAGCUCGGGGAGUAAGGGCUGGGUAAGACGGGUGCCAGCCGCCGCGGUAAUACCCGCAGCCCGAGUGGUGGCCACUAUUAUUGGGCCUAAAGCGUCCGUAGCCGGCCCGGUAAAUGCCUGGGUAAAUCGUGAGGCCUAACCUCACGAAUUCCGGGUAGACUGCCGGGCUAGGGACCGGAGGAGGGAGAGGGUACUCCAGGGGUAGGGGUGAAAUCCUGUAAUCCCUGGAGGACCACCGGUGGCGAAGGCGCUCUCCUAGGACGGGUCCGACGGCGAGGGACGAAAGCCAGGGGAGCGAACCGGAUUAGAUACCCCUGUAGU